AUCGAUGAAGAACGCAGCGAAAUGCGAUAAGUAAUGUGAAUUGCAGAAUUCAGUGAAUCAUCGAAUCUUUGAACGCACAUUGCGCCCCGUGGUAUUCCGCGGGGCAUGCCUGUUCGAGCGUCAUUUAAACCAAUCCAGCUUGCUGGGUCUUGGGCUUCGCCUCCGGGCGGGCCUUAAAAUCAGUGGCGGCGCCUGUCGGCUCUAAGCGUAGUAAUACUCCUCGCUACAGAGUCCGGUGGGAUGCUUGCCAACAACCCCCAAUUUUAUCAGGUUGACCUCGGAUCAGGUAGGGAUACCCGCUGAACUUAAGCAUAUCAAUAAGCGGAGGAAAAGAAACCAACAGGGAUUACCUCAGUAACGGCGAGUGAAGCGGUAACAGCUCAAAUUUGAAAUCUGGCUCUUUCAGGGUCCGAGUUGUAAUUUGUAGAAGAUGCUUCGGGUGUGGCUCCGGUCUAAGUUCCUUGGAACAGGACGUCAUAGAGGGUGAGAAUCCCGUAUGUGACUGGUUGCCUUCGCCCAUGUGAAGCUCUUUCGACGAGUCGAGUUGUUUGGGAAUGCAGCUCUAAAUGGGUGGUAAAUUUCAUCUAAAGCUAAAUAUUGGCCAGAGACCGAUAGCGCACAAGUAGAGUGAUCGAAAGAUGAAAAGCACUUUGGAAAGAGAGUUAAACAGUACGUGAAAUUGUUGAAAGGGAAGCGCUUGCAACCAGACUUGCACCCCGUCGAUCAUCCUCCGUUCUCGGGGGUGCACUCGGCGGGGUUCAGGCCAGCAUCGGUUUCGGUGGUGGGAUAAAGGCCUUGGGAACGUAGCUCCUCUCGGGGAGUGUUAUAGCCCUCGGUGCAAUGCCGCCUACCGGGACCGAGGACCGCGCUUCGGCUAGGAUGCUGGCGUAAUGGUUGUAAGCGACCCGUCUUGAAACACG
This 920-nucleotide ribosomal RNA is filed under the name uncultured Ascomycota. Its description in RNAcentral is "eukaryotic LSU rRNA". The stretch from base 273 to 920 matches the Rfam family "Eukaryotic large subunit ribosomal RNA", at positions 1 to 663 of the family's 3401-position model. Lineage: Eukaryota; Fungi; Ascomycota. The record is from RNAcentral.